RNAcentral lists this long non-coding RNA (1872 nucleotides) under Homo sapiens (human). RNAcentral's name for it is "HSALNT0005586". Lineage: Eukaryota; Metazoa; Chordata; Mammalia; Primates; Hominidae. The record is from RNAcentral.
GACACGGCCGAGAAAGGGCCCAGCCCCGCGCGGACCACAGACUGGCAGGCCGGCCAGACAGACGGACAGGCUGACCCCGGCCCGGGGGAGCAGGCGCAGCGGCUGCGCAGGUAAUGUGAAAUGGUGAGACAUGAUUCCUCAGAGCUCUGUUAUCCCACAAGUCUGUGUCUACCAGCCGCACAAGGAAAAUCUUUCACGAGGUUCCUCUCAGUUCCUGUGGCAGACAGACUCUUGGGGAAGUUGCUCACCAUCCCACCUGCUGAUGUCAUGGCUUUCUGUAAUUCCUUCUGUUUGAGUGGUGGGGGUGGGUGGCUGCAGUGGUGCUGUGACUUGCUUCUCACUGGUAGAAUGCAGCAAAGGUGAUGAGAUAGGUGGGAUAGAUGGUGCCAUGUCAGCGAUGACAUGGGUAUAUUAUGUGACAGUGUGGGGCCGGGCACGGUGGCUCAAGCAUGUAAUCCCAGCACUUUGGGGGGCCAAGGUGGGCGGAUCAGGAGGUCAGGAGAUUGAGAACAACCUAGCUAACACGGUGAAACCCUGUCUCUACUAAAAAAUACAAAAAAUUAGCCAGGCGUGAUGGCAGGCGCCUGUAGUCCCAGCUACUUGGGAGGCUGAGGCAGGAGAAUGGCGAGAACCCGGGAGGUGGAGCUUGCAGUGAGCCGAGAUGGCGCCACUGCACUCCAGCCUGGGGGACAGAGUGAGACUCCGUCUCGAAAAAAAAAAAAAAAGAAAGCGUGGCACUUGUCUUGCUGAGUCUCCCUAUGCCUCUCCAUUGGUUUUGAAGAAGCAAGCUGGCAUGUGGCAGCCUGCGGAUGUUGGGAGGCCACACGGCAAGGAACUGCAGCAUCUCUAGGAGCUGAGGGUGGACCCUGACUGGCAGCCAACAACAAACUGAAGCUCUCAAGCCUACCACCAUAAGGAAUUGAAUUCUGCCAAUAACCUGAGUGAGCAUGGAAGCAGAUCCUUUCCCAGCCAAGCCUCAGACAAGGUUCUGGCCCUGGGAAACACCUUGACUGAAGUCUUGUGAGACCAUAGGAAGAAGACUUAGCUGAGCCAGUCUCAGAUCCUGACCCAUAGAACCUGUUAGAUACUUAGCAUGUGUUGUUUUCAGCCUCUGUGUUUGUGGUAAUUUAUUAUACAAUACAUACUGUUCCCCACCCUAAUACUUGAAACUCCUGACCCCAAUCCCUGUGCUCUAUUUACAACUCCAUGCCACCACUGGGGGAAUAAUCCCAUAAUAGUAUCUGUGUGUGGGUAGCUUUACCUGUCUGUAUCUACACAUAGAUCUUGUGACAGUAAAUUUUAUCUAUCAACUUGACUGGGCUAAAGGAUGCCCUUAUAGUUAAUUAAACAUUAUUUCUGGAUAUGUCUGACUAGCAGAGAUUAGCAUUUGGAUUGGUGGACUGAGUGAAGCAGAUGGCCCUCAAUGUCAUCCAAUCCUUGAGGGCCUGAAUAGAGCAAAAAAGGCAGAUGAAGGUUGAUUUUGCUCUUUGCCUGACUGCUUGAGUUGGGACAUUGAUCUCUUGCGCUUGGUGCUUUGGUUCUUAGGCCUUCAGACCUGAGCUGAAAUCUACACCACCGGCUCUCUGACUAUCAGGCUUUGGACUAUACUUUGGGCUUUCCUGGGUCUCUUACCUGGCAGACAGCAGAUUUUGGAACUUUUCAGCCUCCAUAAUCAUUUCCCAGAAGAACCACAAAGCAUAAAUUUCCCCAAAAGGGGAAUUUUGUUGAUGGCUUUAGUCUAUUCCCUCCUAAAAGACCAGCUACAACCAAAUGAAGUGAACAUAACCUCAAGGGUGUAUUGUCUUCAUAAUAAAAGAUGAAGCUUAGAACUGGAUCACUUGGCCCUUUCUCUUCUGACAUCCUCCCAGUUGA